RNAcentral lists this small RNA (120 nucleotides) under Marmota monax (woodchuck). The record is from RNAcentral. Lineage: Eukaryota; Metazoa; Chordata; Mammalia; Rodentia; Sciuridae.
GCUGGGGGUGGGGGUGCACACCUGUAAUUCUAGCAGCUUGGGAGGCUGAAGCAGGAGGAUUGUGAGUUAAAGUCAGCCUCAGCAACUUAGCCUAAGCAACUCAGUGAGACCCUGACUCUA